This 546-nucleotide ribosomal RNA is filed under the name uncultured Glomus. Its description in RNAcentral is "SSU rRNA". It matches the Rfam family "Eukaryotic small subunit ribosomal RNA", at positions 548 to 1098 of the family's 1831-position model. The record is from RNAcentral. Lineage: Eukaryota; Fungi; Glomeromycota; Glomeromycetes; Glomerales; Glomeraceae.
UUGGAGGGCAAGUCUGGUGCCAGCAGCCGCGGUAAUUCCAGCUCCAAUAGCGUAUAUUAAAGUUGUUGCAGUUAAAAAGCUCGUAGUUGAAUUUCGGGAUUAGUACGUUGGUCGUGCCUUCGGUACGUACUGGUGUUACUGAUUCCUACCUUCUGACGAACCAUCAUGUCAUUAAUUUGGUGUGGUGGGGAAUCAGGACUGUUACUCUGAAAAAAUUAGAGUGUUUAAAGCAGGCUCGCGCUUGAAUACAUUAGCAUGGAAUAAUGAAAUAGGACGUUGACCCUAUUUUGUUGGUUUCUAGGAUUGACGUAAUGAUUAAUAGGGAUAGUUGGGGGCAUUAGUAUUCAAUUGUCAGAGGUGAAAUUCUUGGAUUUAUUGAAGACUAACUACUGCGAAAGCAUUUGCCAAGGAUGUUUUCAUUAAUCAAGAACGAAAGUUAGGGGAUCGAAGACGAUCAGAUACCGUCGUAGUCUUAACCAUAAACUAUGCCGACUAGGGAUCGGAUGAUGUUAUUUUUAAUGACUCAUUCGGCGCCUUACGGGAAAC